GACGAACGCUGGCGGCGUGCUUAACACAUGCAAGUCGAGCGAUGAAGUUCCUUCGGGAAUGGAUUAGCGGCGGACGGGUGAGUAACACGUGGGUAACCUGCCUCAUAGAGGGGAAUAGCCUUCCGAAAGGAAGAUUAAUACCGCAUAAGAUUGUAGUAUCGCAUGAUACAGCAAUUAAAGGAGCAAUCCGCUAUGAGAUGGACCCGCGUCGCAUUAGCUAGUUGGUGAGGUAACGGCUCACCAAGGCGACGAUGCGUAGCCGACCUGAGAGGGUGAUCGGCCACAUUGGGACUGAGACACGGCCAAGACUCCUACGGGAGGCAGCAGUGGGGAAUAUUGCACAAUGGGGGAAACCCUGAUGCAGCAACGCCGCGUGAGUGAUGACGGUCUUCGGAUUGUAAAGCUCUGUCUUCAGGGACGAUAAUGACGGUACCUGAGGAGGAAGCCACGGCUAACUACGUGCCAGCAGCCGCCGUAA
RNAcentral lists this ribosomal RNA (478 nucleotides) under uncultured bacterium. Its description in RNAcentral is "partial 16S ribosomal RNA". It matches the Rfam family "Bacterial small subunit ribosomal RNA", at positions 28 to 523 of the family's 1533-position model. The record is from RNAcentral.